GGGCGAUUAGCUCAGCUGGUUAGAGCACUCCGUUUACACCGGAGAGGUCGCUGGUUCGAAUCCUGCAUCGCCCA
RNAcentral lists this transfer RNA (74 nucleotides) under Planctomycetota bacterium. Its description in RNAcentral is "Planctomycetes bacterium tRNA-Val". It matches the Rfam family "tRNA". Rfam says of the family: Transfer RNA (tRNA) molecules are approximately 80 nucleotides in length. Their secondary structure includes four short double-helical elements and three loops (D, anti-codon, and T loops). The record is from RNAcentral. Lineage: Bacteria; Pseudomonadati; Planctomycetota.